Molecule: ribosomal RNA, 497 nt
Filed under: uncultured bacterium
Lineage: Bacteria
Description: partial 16S ribosomal RNA
Rfam family: Bacterial small subunit ribosomal RNA
Source: RNAcentral
GAUGAACGCUGGCGGCGUGCCUAAUACAUGCAAGUCGAGCGAACGGACGAGAAGCUUGCUUCUCUGAUGUUAGCGGCGGACGGGUGAGUAACACGUGGAUAACCUACCUAUAAGACUGGGAUAACUUCGGGAAACCGGAGCUAAUACCGGAUAAUAUUUUGAACCGCAUGGUUCAAAAGUGAAAGACGGUCUUGCUGUCACUUAUAGAUGGAUCCGCGCUGCAUUAGCUAGUUGGUAAGGUAACGGCUUACCAAGGCAACGAUGCAUAGCCGACCUGAGAGGGUGAUCGGCAACACUGGAACUGAGACACGGUCCAGACUCCUACGGGAGGCAGCAGUAGGGAAUCUUCCGCAAUGGGCGAAAGACUGACGGAGCAACGCCGCGUGAGUGAUGAAGGUCUUCGGAUCGUAAAACUCUGUUAUUAGGGAAGAACAUAUGUGUAAGUAACUGUGCACAUCUUGACGGUACCUAAUCAGAAAGCCACGGCUAACUACGUG